Molecule: ribosomal RNA, 396 nt
Filed under: uncultured bacterium
Lineage: Bacteria
Description: partial 16S ribosomal RNA
Rfam family: Bacterial small subunit ribosomal RNA
Source: RNAcentral
AUACGUAGGGAGCGAGCGUUGUCCGGAAUUACUGGGUGUAAAGGGAGCGUAGGCGGGAUCGCAAGUCAGAUGUGAAAUGCAUGGGCUUAACCCAUGAGCUGCAUUUGAAACUGCGGUUCUUGAGUGAAGUAGAGGUAAGCGGAAUUCCUGGUGUAGCGGUGAAAUGCGUAGAUAUCAGGAGGAACACCGGUGGCGAAGGCGGCUUACUGGGCUUUUACUGACGCUGAGGCUCGAAAGCGUGGGGAGCAAACAGGAUUAGAUACCCUGGUAGUCCACGCUGUAAACGAUGAUUACUAGGUGUGGGGGGACUGACCCCUUCCGUGCCGCAGUUAACACAAUAAGUAAUCCACCUGGGGAGUACGGCCGCAAGGUUGAAACUCAAAUGAAUUGGCGGGG